GCCUGUAUACUUCACCAAGGAUUACAUUUGAGCGCAAGGAGAUCUAUAUUGGUGAAUCGGUUUAUUAAUACCUUUGAACCCAGGGUCGAAGUUGUUUAAGUCAUACUGUGUCAUUGGGUCCUUAUCAUGCUCAUUGACGUUUACUCUUAAUUUAUCGAUGUGAAUAUGAAUGAAAAUCGUCAACAUAGAACAACCUUACCACACCCC
Molecule: long non-coding RNA, 207 nt
Filed under: Mytilus galloprovincialis (Mediterranean mussel)
Lineage: Eukaryota; Metazoa; Mollusca; Bivalvia; Mytilida; Mytilidae
Source: RNAcentral